GGUCCCGUGGCCCAAUGGAUAAGGGGCCUGACUACGGAUUAGGAGAUUGUAGGUUCGAGUCCUGCCGGGAUCG
Molecule: transfer RNA, 73 nt
Filed under: Dreissena polymorpha
Lineage: Eukaryota; Metazoa; Mollusca; Bivalvia; Myida; Dreissenidae
Description: transfer RNA arginine (anticodon ACG)
Rfam family: tRNA
About the family: Transfer RNA (tRNA) molecules are approximately 80 nucleotides in length. Their secondary structure includes four short double-helical elements and three loops (D, anti-codon, and T loops). Further hydrogen bonds mediate the characteristic L-shaped molecular structure. tRNAs have two regions of fundamental functional importance: the anti-codon, which is responsible for specific mRNA codon recognition, and the 3' end, to which the tRNAs corresponding amino acid is attached (by aminoacyl-tRNA synthetases). tRNAs cope with the degeneracy of the genetic code in two manners: having more than one tRNA (with a specific anti-codon) for a particular amino acid; and 'wobble' base-pairing, i.e. permitting non-standard base-pairing at the 3rd anti-codon position.
Source: Rfam by way of RNAcentral